This 539-nucleotide ribosomal RNA is filed under the name Hyperolius quinquevittatus (five-striped reed frog). Its description in RNAcentral is "partial large subunit ribosomal RNA". It matches the Rfam family "Bacterial large subunit ribosomal RNA", at positions 1856 to 2606 of the family's 2925-position model. The record is from RNAcentral. Lineage: Eukaryota; Metazoa; Chordata; Amphibia; Anura; Hyperoliidae.
UGCCUGCCCUGUGAUUUAUUUUUAACGGCCGCAGUAUCCUGACCGCGCAAAGGUAGCAUAAUCAAUUGUCCCUUAAAUUAGGACUAGUAUGAAAGGCGCCACGAGGGUUUAACUGUCUCCCCCCCUCAAUCAACGAAAUUGAUCUUCCCGUGAAGAAGCGGGAAUACUGUUAUAAGACGAGAAGACCCUAUGGAGCUUUAAACUUAUUACCAUUUAUUUUUACAAUAACAAAUUAUCAAAUAUUAAUGUUCUCCAAUAGCUUUUGGUUGGGGCGACCCUGGAGAAUAACAAAUCCUCCAGACUGAAAGGAAAAAUAACCCUUAUAUAAGAACUACAGUUCAAACAAACAAAAAUUUGACAUAACUGACCCAGAACUAACUGACCAGUGAACCAAGUUACCCUAGGGAUAACAGCGCAAUCCAUUUUAAGAGUUCAUAUCGACAAAUGGGUUUACGACCUCGAUGUUGGAUCAGGGUAUCCUAGCAGCGCAGCUGUUGCUAACGGUUCGUUUGUUCAACGAUUAAUAUCCCACGUGAUCU